GCUACUACCGAUUGAAUGGUUUAGCGAGAUGCUCGGAUCGGGCCCAGCUCGUGAGAAAGCAUGUGCCGGGACUGAGAAGAAGUUCAAGCUUGAUCAUUUAGAGGAAGUAAAAGUCGUAACAAGGUUUUCGUAGGUGAACCUGCAGAAGGAUCAAGAUCGUUAGAGCGUCGUGUAUGGCAAGCGUGUAGAUCUCGGUGUUCGCCGUUUCAUUUAUACACAUAUUCUCUACUUCUUUUAUUCCUCUCUUUUUUCUCUCCCUCUCUUUCCUCUCUUUUUU
Molecule: unclassified non-coding RNA, 277 nt
Filed under: sea anemone metagenome
Description: partial contains small subunit ribosomal RNA and internal transcribed spacer 1
Rfam family: Eukaryotic small subunit ribosomal RNA (bases 1-156)
Source: RNAcentral